Molecule: ribosomal RNA, 588 nt
Filed under: uncultured bacterium
Lineage: Bacteria
Description: partial 16S ribosomal RNA
Rfam family: Bacterial small subunit ribosomal RNA
Source: RNAcentral
UGGGGAAUUUUGGACAAUGGGGGAAACCCUGAUCCAGCCAUCCCGCGUGUGCGAUGAAGGCCUUCGGGUUGUAAAGCACUUUUGGCAGGAAAGAAACGUCGCGGGUUAAUACCCCGCGAAACUGACGGUACCUGCAGAAUAAGCACCGGCUAACUACGUGCCAGCAGCCGCGGUAAUACGUAGGGUGCAAGCGUUAAUCGGAAUUACUGGGCGUAAAGCGUGCGCAGGCGGUUCGGAAAGAAAGAUGUGAAAUCCCAGAGCUUAACUUUGGAACUGCAUUUUUAACUACCGGGCUAGAGUGUGUCAGAGGGAGGUGGAAUUCCGCGUGUAGCAGUGAAAUGCGUAGAUAUGCGGAGGAACACCGAUGGCGAAGGCAGCCUCCUGGGAUAACACUGACGCUCAUGCACGAAAGCGUGGGGAGCAAACAGGAUUAGAUACCCUGGUAGUCCACGCCCUAAACGAUGUCAACUAGCUGUUGGGGCCUUCGGGCCUUGGUAGCGCAGCUAACGCGUGAAGUUGACCGCCUGGGGAGUACGGUCGCAAGAUUAAAACUUAAAUGAAUUGACGGGGGUCAUAGCUGUUUUUCCU